GGUAGUGUGGCCGAGAGUUAGGUGGCGAGUUGUAGCCUCGCCGAGGGGGUGACAGGAGAUGCCCCCACUACCA
RNAcentral lists this transfer RNA (73 nucleotides) under Hemiphyllodactylus kyaiktiyoensis (Kyaiktiyo Mountain slender gecko). Its description in RNAcentral is "tRNA-Tyr". Lineage: Eukaryota; Metazoa; Chordata; Lepidosauria; Squamata; Gekkonidae. The record is from RNAcentral.